RNAcentral lists this ribosomal RNA (458 nucleotides) under uncultured bacterium. RNAcentral's name for it is "bacterial SSU rRNA". It matches the Rfam family "Bacterial small subunit ribosomal RNA", at positions 340 to 786 of the family's 1533-position model. The record is from RNAcentral.
UACGGAAGGCAGCAGUGGGGAAUAUUGCACAAUGGGCGAAAGCCUGAUGCAGCUAUGCCGCGUGUAUGAAGAAGGCCUUAGGGUUGUAAAGUACUUUCAUCGGGGAGGAAAAAACAAAACUAAUAAUUUUAUUUCUUGACGUUACCCGAAAAAGAAGCACCGGCUAACUCCGUGCCAGCAGCCGCGGUAAUACGGAGGGUGCUAGCGUUAAUCAGAAUUACUGGGCGUAAAGAGCACGUAGGUGGUUUUUUUAAAGUCAGAUGUGAAAUCCCUGGGCUUAACCUAGGAACUGCAUUUUGAAACUGAAAUACUAGAGUAUCGUAGAGGGAGGUAGAAUUCUAGGUGUAGCGGUGAAAUGCGUAGAUAUCUGGAGGAAUACCUGUGGCGAAAGCGGCCUCCUAAACGAAUACUGACACUGAGGUGCGAAAGCGUGGGGAGCAAACCAGGGAUUAGAUACC